AACGAACGCUGGCGGCAUGCCUAACACAUGCGAGUCGAACGAGACCUUCGGGUCUAGUGGCGCACGGGUGCGUAACGCGUGGGAACCUGCCCUUAGGUUCGGAAUAACUCCCCGAAAGGGGUGCUAAUACCGGAUAAUGUCUUCGGACCAAAGAUUUAUCGCCUUUGGAUGGGCCCGCGUUGGAUUGGCUAGUUGGUAGGGUAAAAGCCUACCAAGGCGACGAUCCAUAGCUGGUCUGAGAGGAUGAUCAGCCACACUGGGACUGAGACACGGCCCAGACUCCUACGGGAGGCAGCAGUGGGGAAUAUUGGACAAUGGGCGAAAGCCUGAUCCAGCAAUGCCGCGUGAGUGAUGAAGGCCUUAGGGUUGUAAAGCUCUUUUACCCGGGAUGAUAAUGACAGUACCGGGAGAAUAAGCUCCGGCUAACUCCGUG
This 433-nucleotide ribosomal RNA is filed under the name uncultured bacterium. RNAcentral's name for it is "partial 16S ribosomal RNA". It matches the Rfam family "Bacterial small subunit ribosomal RNA", at positions 29 to 507 of the family's 1533-position model. The record is from RNAcentral.